This 494-nucleotide ribosomal RNA is filed under the name uncultured bacterium. RNAcentral describes it as "partial 16S ribosomal RNA". It matches the Rfam family "Bacterial small subunit ribosomal RNA", at positions 28 to 506 of the family's 1533-position model. The record is from RNAcentral.
GACGAACGCUGGCGGCGUGCCUAAUACAUGCAAGUAGAACGCUGAAGGAGGAGCUUGCUUCUCUGGAUGAGUUGCGAACGGGUGAGUAACGCGUAGGUAACCUGCCUGGUAGCGGGGGAUAACUAUUGGAAACGAUAGCUAAUACCGCAUAAUAGUAGAUGUUGCAUGACAUUUGCUUAAAAGGUGCAAUUGCAUCACUACCAGAUGGACCUGCGUUGUAUUAGCUAGUUGGUGGGGUAACGGCUCACUAAGGCGACGAUACAUAGCCGACCUGAGAGGGUGAUCGGCCACACUGGGACUGAGACACGGCCCAGACUCCUACGGGAGGCAGCAGUAGGGAAUCUUCGGCAAUGGACGGAAGUCUGACCGAGCAACGCCGCGUGAGUGAAGAAGGUUUUCGGAUCGUAAAGCUCUGUUGUAAGAGAAGAACGAGUGUGAGAGUGGAAAGUUCACACUGUGACGGUAUCUUACCAGAAAGGGACGGCUAACUACGU